RNAcentral lists this transfer RNA (85 nucleotides) under Felis catus (domestic cat). It matches the Rfam family "tRNA". Rfam says of the family: Transfer RNA (tRNA) molecules are approximately 80 nucleotides in length. Lineage: Eukaryota; Metazoa; Chordata; Mammalia; Carnivora; Felidae. The record is from Rfam by way of RNAcentral.
GCCUGGGUAGCUCAGUCGGUUGAGUGUCUGACUUCGGCUCAGGUCAUGAUCUCAUGGUUUGUGGGUUCAAGCCCCACAUCAGUCU